Pomacea canaliculata is the source of this 616-nucleotide long non-coding RNA. RefSeq lists it as uncharacterized. The transcript is spliced from 2 exons. NCBI's taxonomy places the organism in Eukaryota, Metazoa, Mollusca, Gastropoda, Architaenioglossa, Ampullariidae. The record is from RefSeq and is a predicted model, not a curated record.
AGAUGGUUUCUCUUCAUGGACUUACAGCAGGUCAGACGGUUGCAGGUGUGGAAGACUGAAAAACUUUGUUUACACACAAAACAUCACCUUUGUUGUUUACUGCUUGUGACAGGUAGCAGUCCGAUGAUACCAUAAGUGACAGCACCUCCACUGUCUACAAUCAGAUAGUUAAUGACAUUGGCGGUCAGUUUACAAUUCGGUUCAAAAUUAAUGCUUUAUUAUGGACAGGUGAGGGAUGUUCACUGAUGUUCACUGGCUGGCAUCACCUGUAGUUGUGAUACAAAUCACUCGGCCAACACACGGACAUCAUUCUGUGAAAACCUGUUCAUAUUUACAAAAUGUUAAUGAACGGAAUGCAAACAGUUUUCCUUUAGGACAAGGCCUGCACAAUGUAACAUUUUUGUCAACAAACUAUUAGUAAUUCAGUAUUUACUGAGGAGCUUUUUCAGUUCGAUCUCUAAAUUUUCUAGGACUUAUUGUUUUGUUAUGCUUUAUUCAGAUUUUGUUUUUCGUUAUAUUUUUUAGUUCUGUAUUGAUAAGCUAUAUGCAGUUAUAUGUGAACUAGAAACCUCUGUAUACUGUAGCCUGCUCGGCAAUAAAGAACGAGAAGAGUGAA